Molecule: ribosomal RNA, 274 nt
Filed under: uncultured bacterium
Lineage: Bacteria
Description: partial 16S ribosomal RNA
Rfam family: Bacterial small subunit ribosomal RNA
Source: RNAcentral
AUACGGAGGGGGUUAGCGUUGUUCGGAAUUACUGGGCGUAAAGCGCACGUAGGCGGACUGGAAAGCUGGGGGUGAAAUCCCGGGGCUCAACCCCGGAACUGCCUCCAAAACUUCCAAUCUAGAGAUCGAGAGAGGUGAGUGGAAUUCAAAGUGUAGAGGUGAAAUUCGUAGAUAUUUGGAGGAACACCAGUGGCGAAGGCGGCUCACUGGCUCGAUACUGACGCUGAGGUGCGAAAGCGUGGGGAGCAAACAGGAUUAGAAACCCUAGUAGUCC